This 469-nucleotide ribosomal RNA is filed under the name uncultured bacterium. RNAcentral describes it as "partial 16S ribosomal RNA". It matches the Rfam family "Bacterial small subunit ribosomal RNA", at positions 28 to 507 of the family's 1533-position model. The record is from RNAcentral.
GACGAACGCUGGCGGCGUGCUUAACACAUGCAAGUCGAACGGAAAGGCCCUGCUUUUGUGGGGUGCUCGAGUGGCGAACGGGUGAGUAACACGUGAGUAACCUGCCCUUGACUUUGGGAUAACUUCAGGAAACUGGGGCUAAUACCGGAUAGGAGCUCCUGCUGCAUGGUGGGGGUUGGAAAGUUUCGGCGGUUGGGGAUGGACUCGCGGCUUAUCAGCUUGUUGGUGGGGUAGUGGCUUACCAAGGCUUUGACGGGUAGCCGGCCUGAGAGGGUGACCGGCCACAUUGGGACUGAGAUACGGCCCAGACUCCUACGGGAGGCAGCAGUGGGGAAUAUUGCACAAUGGGCGGAAGCCUGAUGCAGCAACGCCGCGUGCGGGAUGACGGCCUUCGGGUUGUGAACCGCUUUCGCUCAUGACGAAGCUUUGUGUGACGGUAGUGGGUAAAGAAGCACCGGCUAACUACGUG